RNAcentral lists this ribosomal RNA (257 nucleotides) under uncultured bacterium. Its description in RNAcentral is "partial 16S ribosomal RNA". It matches the Rfam family "Bacterial small subunit ribosomal RNA", at positions 521 to 776 of the family's 1533-position model. The record is from RNAcentral.
UAAUACGUAGGUGGCGAGCGUUAUCCGGAUUUAUUGGGUUUAAAGGGUGCGUAGGCGGGAGAUUAAGUCGAUGGUGAAAGGUAGCAGCUCAACUGUUUUACAUGCUGUCGAUACUGAUUUUCUUGAGUUAUUGGAAGGCAGAUAGAAUUUCUGGUGUAGCGGUGAAAUGCUUAGAUACCAGAAGGAAUACCGAUUGCGAAGGCAGUCUGCUGCAAAUAUACUGACGCUGAGGCACGAAAGUAUGGGGAUCAAACAGG